This is a ribosomal RNA of Danio rerio (zebrafish), 119 nucleotides long. The record is from Ensembl. NCBI's taxonomy places the organism in Eukaryota, Metazoa, Chordata, Actinopteri, Cypriniformes, Danionidae.
UCCCACAGUCGUAUCACCCUGCAGCCCAAGACUCAAGGUUACUUACUGAAGCUAUGCAGGGCUGAACUUGUUUAGUACCUAGAGGGGAGACCACAUGGAAAACUAGGUUGCUGUUGGAA